Ruditapes philippinarum (Manila clam) is the source of this 353-nucleotide long non-coding RNA. RefSeq lists it as uncharacterized. The record is from RefSeq and is a predicted model, not a curated record. Lineage: Eukaryota; Metazoa; Mollusca; Bivalvia; Venerida; Veneridae. The transcript has 3 exons.
GGCAUGUUCUACAACAGAGAGCAGAAAUGAACAGGUGCUGUCUGGACAACAGUUUCUAUCUGCUAUAGAAGAAAAUCUCUCUCAACCUAAAUAUGACAUUUAUAGUGAUGACUUCAAAAAAGAACUAAGAGAUUUUUGUUUCGAUGUGGCAGAGAAGUUAGACAAAUUAAGACACAAAUUUAACAUAGAUUCUAGCGAAAGAUCUGCAUCAGUUUUGUAUGAGUUAGAGAGGAUAACCAUUCUACAGGUUGAGAAGUUUCUAGACUGUUGUAAAGAGAAGUAUGUGAGGGCAUGUAUAGAACCAGGUUUGUAAACAUCUUCUUUCAAGUACAAGUGUAAAUGAAUGAUGCUUU